Long non-coding RNA from Drosophila ananassae, 585 nucleotides. RefSeq lists it as uncharacterized. NCBI's taxonomy places the organism in Eukaryota, Metazoa, Arthropoda, Insecta, Diptera, Drosophilidae. The record is from RefSeq and is a predicted model, not a curated record. The transcript is spliced from 2 exons.
CGGCAAUUGAUUAUUGUGCCGACAAAUCAGUAAAAAUUGGGGAUAUGAAAACAAUUUGUAAAUAUUGUAAGGCGUUAAAGUACACUGGUAAAUCUACUGGAUUAUGUUGCGCUGUAGGCAAAGUAAAAUUGCCACAAUUGGUCCCACCACCAGAUCCUUUACGCUCCUUAGUUUCUGGGAUUGGAAAUGAUUCGAAGCACUUCUUGACCAACAUUCAGAAAUAUAACAACUUUGUUCAGAUGCCAUCAUUUGGUGCUACACAUAUUAUACAAGCCAAUUUCAUGCCCACUUUUAAGAUACAAGGACAAUUUUAUCACUUACUGGGAACUCUGAUACCACUACCUGAUGCAGAUCAUCAAUUUUUACAAAUUUAUUUUAUGGGCAAUUCAGAUGCGGAAAUUAAUAUUCGUUGUGCUCACAAACCAACAGUAAAGAGAACCAUUGUCCAACAAUUACAAAUGUUUCUUCAUCAGAAUAACAAUUUAGUAAACAUGAUCAAAAUAGCAUUGGAUCGGAUGCCAUCUGAUAGCCAUAAUACUGGAAGACUGGCUGUGAAAAGACUGAUGAAUAACGUCAUUGAGACAA